This 428-nucleotide ribosomal RNA is filed under the name Bacteroidota bacterium. RNAcentral describes it as "Bacteroidetes bacterium partial 16S ribosomal RNA". It matches the Rfam family "Bacterial small subunit ribosomal RNA", at positions 355 to 776 of the family's 1533-position model. The record is from RNAcentral. Lineage: Bacteria; Pseudomonadati; Bacteroidota.
UAGGGAAUCUUCCGCAAUGGACGCAAGUCUGACGGAGCAACGCCGCGUGAGUGAAGAAGGAUUUCGGUUCGUAAAACUCUGUUGUUAGAGAAGAACAGCGCAUAGAGUAACUGUUAUGCGUGUGACGGUAUCUAACCAGAAAGCCACGGCUAACUACGUGCCAGCAGCCGCGGUAAUACGUAGGUGGCAAGCGUUGUCCGGAUUUAUUGGGCGUAAAGCGAGCGCAGGCGGUUAGAAAAGUCUGAAGUGAAAGGCAGUGGCUCAACCAUUGUAGGCUUUGGAAACUGUUUAACUGGAGUGCAGAAGGGGAGAGUGGAAUUCCAUGUGUAGCGGUGAAAUGCGUAGAUAUAUGGAGGAACACCGGUGGCGAAAGCGGCUCUCUGGUCUGUAACUGACGCUGAGGCUCGAAAGCGUGGGGAGCGAACAGG